This 200-nucleotide microRNA precursor is filed under the name Oryza nivara. RNAcentral describes it as "MIR812 microRNA precursor family". It matches the Rfam family "MIR812 microRNA precursor family". Lineage: Eukaryota; Viridiplantae; Streptophyta; Magnoliopsida; Poales; Poaceae. The record is from Rfam by way of RNAcentral.
AAAAAGACAAACCCUAGAUUUCUGUGUCCAACUUUAACUGUCCGUCUUAUAUGAAAUUUUUUUAUAAUUCGUAUUUUUAUUUUUGUUAGAUGAUAAAACAUAAUUAAUAUUUUAUGCGUGACUUUUUAUUUUUUUUAUAAUUUUUUUAAAUAAGACGGGCGGUCAAACAUUGGGCACGGAAACUAAGGUUUGUCUUUUUU